GGCGCUUUUUCGUGGAAACUCUGAUGUUGAUCAGCUAGGAAAAAUCUUUGAAGUAAUUGGGCUUCCUGAAGAAGAAGAUUGGCCUAAUGAUGUUGCCCUCCCGAGGAAUGCUUUUGCUUCUCAAUCCCCUCAGCCCAUUGAACUUCUUGUAACAGAUAUUGAUGAAUUGGGCAAAGAUUUGCUACUUAAAUGUCUGACAUUCAGUCCCAUGAAGAGAAUAUCAGCUUAUGAUGCCUUAUCUCAUCCUUAUUUUCAUGAUUUGGAGAAAUACAGAGAGAAUACAGAUUCUGAUGUGUCUUCCAGUCAAAACUCCACAGAGAUGAAUUCAUUGUAAGGCUAUAUCAGGCUAACCUAAGGAUGAACAAACUAGUUUGAUAAGAUCACUGUCUAAGGUAAAAAGCAUCACUGUAUGUCUGAAGACUUCCUUGGAGACUUCACAUAAUUGUGUAGUUCUUCAAAAUGAUGCUCUGCCUCUCCAAGAAAAAGAACCUAGUUAGACCUGUCAAAACAAUGCAAGAUGCGAAACUUUCAAUGGGUCCCACUGUAGCUUGACAUUUGUUAGUCUAUCUGGAAUUCUCCAGGUAGAGAGAAGCUGCUGAUCAGUUUUGCUGCCAUUUUCUUCUAGCAUUGAACGAUGCCACCAUGGAUUAGAGGAAUCUAGUCUCUCUACCAAAACAUGACUUGACUUCUGUUCCUGGGUGCUGAAGUUUGACUUGGUCCUCCUCUGGGAGUUAUGGUGGUAGUUUUUUUUUUUUUUCCUGUUUUUUUGCUUGAUCAUGAAUUCAGAAAUAUUAUUUUUAAAGUAAUAUUUAAAAGAAUGACAUUGAGAUGCUGCAUCUCUAUACCCUGAAGUUAAAAGAAAAACGUAAAAAUACAUCUGGCUAUUGUAACCCACAGGAUCCUUCUCUAAUAAGAGAUGGAAGAUGAUAACAUUUUAUUUUCAUAAUAACUUGUGUCUGUGACUUAAUCUCCAGGUAUUAAUAAUGCACGUGUGAUAAAGGGAACAGGUGGUUUUAAAGAAAUUAUUUUGUAGGGAUCAUUUCUCUCAUCUGCUGAAUUUAUGUCAGUCACUGCACAGCAUUUCCUCUUUAUCUUUUCUGGUAAUAUACUUCUGUGCCUUUGGAAAUUAGGCAUUUCAGAUUUAUCAUUUUCAGAUUCAAGGACGAAAUUUUAAAAAGUCAAGUAUUCAUAUGUAUUUGUGUGUGCGUGUGUGCAUGUGUAUAUAUGUAUAUAUACAUAUAAACCUAUAUCCAUACCCACACGUACAAAUAUGUAUACAUAAACUAAAACUGCAACCCAAAAAUAUCUCAGAAAUUAGUCCUGUUGGAUUUAGUGAGGCAUAACUCUGUAUAGAAUUGUACCUUUUGAAGUUAUAAACUUAUUCCCACUUAUUUGGGGCAAAACCCCCAUUGAAUCCAGUGCGGCUUUCUUUUGCAGAGCCAUGUAAAGGAACACUCUGCAAUUCUGUGCAUUUUUCUCUUGAGAGUAAGCUACUUUGCACAAAAUGUGCUGGAUCCAACUACAGAUAUAUUCAGAGUUGGCCCAUUGAAAUCUGUGGGACAAUACAGUAUGAGUAAAGUUAUAAUUAUUAUAAUGGAAAUACUGUUUGGUUGUGUAAGUAUGGAUCUAAUUUAUUGAAACUUCCUUCUGGGUAAACAUGCAUAGGAUUAUGGUGUGAGAAACCAGGUGCUCAUAGCUGUCAUUCAAGCCUGUGUGUCAUGAUUAUAAUAAUCUCAGGCAUCAGACCACAUAACCCUCACAUUUGCUUCAAGUUUGCUUCCAAUCUGACAUUUCAUAUAAUUCAGUAGAUUUUACUUUUCUAUGUAAGAAAAUGUUAGGAACCCAUACUCAUUAACACUGACUGCUGUGCUCUGCUUUGCCUUUCACAUUUGCUGUAUUUGAAAGCCCACUUUGAUGAAUAAGUCACAGGCUGUCUUAGCACAAAUAUUUUAAAUCUUGCAUUAAAUGUCUGUAUAUGUUUUAGAGUUUUUGUAAAAAAUAGAAUUUUAAAAAGAAAUUUUAUUUUUGUAGUAUGGUUUGAUGAAAUAUUUUUUAAUCCACUCCUCACCUGGUUGCCUUAGAAUGAUUCUGAGGUAGCUCCAGGGCCAAUAUAUUAAUAGCUGCAACAAAACAGAAGAUGCAGGUGCUAUUGAAAUGAAUUAAUGGCUUGUACUCUUAUCUAUUAUAAUUGUUGCUGUGCUAUCUAAUCCUUUUCUGUUUACUGAGCUGUAUCAACCAUUUCCUUAUUCUUUGCAUGUUAAUUCCUGGAAUGUGUUCCCAGUACUUUCCUGUACAAUCCUCAUUCAUUUUAUUUGUAGUCUAUAUAAGAGAUGAAAGGGUACACAUAUCCAAAAAUUCUGCACUGCAGUUGAUUUGUUUUCCUAGGUGAUGUAUCUCAAUAAUUUGUUCUCAGUGGAACAAAGAAAGCCUCAUGUGAAUGUCCCUUUGCUAUAGGCUUCACCAGUCUGAUGCCCUCCAGCUAUGUCAAGACUACAGUUGUCAGAACUACUAAACAAAAUGUCCUGCUAUGGAAAUUUCUCACAAUUUGCAUACCUACUUCAAGUCACUUUCCAGAAACUGAAAUUUUGUUAGUUUUCAUCCCUUGCUAUGCUGACAUUUCGUAUUUAUCUUGAACUUCUGUAGAUUAAUCCCAUGAAGUUGGUUUUAAGUUACUGCUAUUGUAAUCCAAAAUGAAUUUGUGACAUUAAGAGUCACUGGUAUCUCAUGGGAAUACCAAUGAAAUUAUUUCAGAUUAGGCAAAAAUAUGGUAUGUCAUACUUCAUGAAUAUGAGCAAUUCAAAUAGCCUAUUGUGAUUCCAGUCUUUGCAUUGUGAAGAUGCAAGGAAGCUGACCAAAAGAAAUACUGAGGAACAACUUGUUAAAAGGCAGAGCAUACGCUUUGCAUGUUGAAGCUCCCACAUUGUAUUCCUGAUAUUUAGGUAGAAAAGGACGAAGUAAUAGAUGAUGUAAAAACCUUCUACCUUGAACUUUGGAUAGUUGGUUUAACUCAAACAGUAUGGACUAGAUAAAUUAAUAGUUGGAUAUGGUAAAAGGUAGUAUCCUGUGUUCUUUAGAGAACUUUCUACACUCCCUGAUGAACCCUAGUUAUUGCAUCUAUAUCUUACAAAUCUAAGCUGAACAUCCAGCUGUUUCAAGAUUUUAUCUUUAAAAAUAUAAGAAUGUUUGUUCUCCUAUUCAUGCUGCCCACUAUGUGCAAUAGAAAUUAUUCAACUUUAUGUAUAUCUCUUCAUUUAGGUUUGGCAUAGAAUUAGCUCAGGGAACACAUGCAGAAGAACCUCUCCUGCCUCCAGCUCCUUGACUCUGAUCCAAAGAACUUGCUCUAGAACUCAGCCGGGCUUGCAGUUUCCAGCAGAAUUUUUCACUUUCUCAUUUCUGACCACAGUUCCUUAGUCUGCAGCAGAAGCCCCUCUGAGGAUUUUUGAGAUGGAAGUGUCUCAAAACCUUGCUGCACAUUUCAAGCCCACCAUAUACAGCUCUUUGGAUUGGGCUAAAUAGCGGUAAAUCAGAUGCUGAGGAAAAGUCUUCUGGAAAAGUCUUCUUGCAGCAUGAUAGGAGUCUUUCAUGUACUGUGUGUGUGUUGCAGUCUGCCACAGCUACCCUUAAAAUGUGUGUGUUGUUUAUGAGAAUUGUUUCAGUGUAAGAGCUAGUCUCAUUCCUAAUAAGGGCAGGGGGACACUAAAUGUACCCCUGUAUUUAACAUUAUUCUAUUUGGCUUGAAUAUACUUAAGUAGCCAAAAUAUGCAAUUCAAAGUUUGCAGCCUAAGGUAAUUUGUAAUGAGUUCUAGCCUCUUCUACUCUGUUGCAGGAUAUUACCUGGAAGUUUAUCUUUAGCAUCCUUUAUUUUAGCCUUUUGGACAGCAACAUGUCACAGGCUGGUUCUGCUUGCUUUCAGCCAUUUUCACAUGACUAUUCCUCUUGCUAAAAGCUGUUAUCCAAUCACAUAUGUAUUGUGCUACUUUCCCCUAUUUAUAUAAAAUAUGCUUAUGUACAAAGGACGGAUUUAUUGGCUGCUAGAAAUUACAGUUACUUUAAAAUGUAGAAUAAUCCAGAAAGAUACCACCUCAGAUAUCACUGCAGUGAAAAGCAUCAUCUUUAAGGCUUAUAGAUUUUAUCAGAUAGCAUAUAAAUUCAUCAAGUAAUAUAAUUAAAUACAAAAGACAAUGUGUUUGAAAAAGUUAAACAUAUUUACAGUGUUUCUUUGAAGGCUUUUAGCUAGUAUUCCUCUUUUGAUGAGAUGAGAUUUGCUAGCAUGUGUUGUAGUUUAUAAAUUCUCUACCUUACAUGCUAUCAGGAUAAAUUAACCUCACAUAUUUUAUUAAAUCAUCAUAAACUACUUUUAUUCAUUAUGUUUCACUCGCUUAAUGCAUGUGGAUGUAAUUUUAGUUGCAGAAAACAUGGAAGUGACAAAAUAAAUGGAGUAAGUGUCAGGGUUUCAGAAGAUAGUGGAUUUUGGCCUGAAGAAAUUUCAGGUACACUUAAGGAGACCUCAGCAUAUCGUUAAAUUUAAGCAUUCACCUGGUUAUAAAGCAACAGGAAAUAGCAUGUAGGUGAGAGAACUGCAGGUAGGUAAGAGAAUGGAAAUGUGCUAUCAUCCUUCUGUUUCCAGCAUAGAAACCAAGCAGGCUAUCAGAAAUCUCCUCCUCUGCCAUGCAUAGAAGAGCAGUAGCUGCUGGAAGGGACUCACAGUUGCUUAAAUCUCCUCUGCCAGCUCGCCAAAAGCUAAUAAACUUCUUUUUUGCAGGUUAGUAACUUCCAGAACCUUAUUUAGAAGGCUGUUUUGGUACAUAAUUACUGGCUUGCAUCCAACAAUUUACUUUGCAUUCUUCUCUGUAUAUUUAGCAUGUCCUGUUCAUAUUGUUAAUUAUAUUGUCAAAAAUUAGUAUAGCCAGCCAGUUGUAUAUUUAGCAAAGAAAGGCUUUUGAACAAUUUCAGUAUAUAUUCUGAAAGGAUUUUGCCAGGAUAAGAUUAUUUUAUUGCCUUUUCAAGCUGUGCAACCUGAUUGUUUGCUUCUUUUAAUAUUUAUCUACUGAUUUCAAAUUCUAGUGGAAUUUUAGUACAUAAGAAUUAGAAUUACAAAUUUCUAGCAGCAUGCCCACAGUUCUGCUGCCUGCUUCCAUUUUGAUGAACUUUUGACUGAAGUCAUUCCAAUAGUUGCAAAUAACAGAGUUGAUGAAAACAGAUGUCUCUGCCUUUAGUCAACAGACAUUUAAACUUUUGUUUAGAACUGGUCAUUCACUGUUUUUGCUGUUGGGUUCAUAUAAAUAUUUCAGCUCUCAACUUGCCAAGUGGACAUUUCACCCAUUGAAAUCAAUGGCCCUUUCAAGUACUAAGUUCAGGAUUGGGAUUUUUGAUAAUGUUCCACAUAUUCACACAUAUUAUCCACAUUCUUCUUAUUAACAUUACGCAUAAUGCAUAAAAUUCAUGAAAACUUGUGGUGAAUUACCUAUUUGUGCAGAAUUUAUUUUCCUUUUGUAUGUAAGGGAGCAUGUUGUCAGUUCCGAAGCAUAUGGAAAAAUCAAAGUACAAGUCCCAUCACGAUUGGAGUUCAAAUUGUGGUGGAGUGAUGGGAGAUUCAACUUAGGAAGAUCUGAAUGGGAAAAAAGCAAUACCAGAGAUCACUAACACAGAACAUGCACAUUCGAUCAAAUACCAGGGCUCAAACCUAUAUGUCAUGAAGAAAUACAGGCAGAUAAGUGAAAUAACUGGCAAUCAGGAAGAACUGAUUUACUAGCAGAAAGAGUGGAGAAACAGAAAAAUGUUACAAAGCCAUAGAAACAAAAUCAUCUGGUGGCCACAUCAGAGAUGUAAACCUGAGCAGAAGCACUUAGCAAUAAUUGGAGUCAGAAGGAACCAGUGGGCUACCAGCAAGGUAUGAUGUUUGGGCCAUGGCAGAGAAGAUGAUGUCUUCUUCUACUUUCCAGUCUAAAUGACCUCAUUCCAAGGUUGCUCAAAUAAAUGCAAGACUGGUUAUGUGCAAUGAUUAAGUAAUGCUUCUGGAUCCUUUUCAGUUGUUUUUCUCAGGGGAAUUGAUUCAACAAUUAGCCUAAUACAUACUACAUUUCCUAAUAAAACAUGCGUCAAACAGCUGCAUUCCCAACAUUACUGUGACUAAAUGCUAAUUGCAAGUCAUUGGCUUUCUCUCUCGCAUCUCACAACAGAGGAUAACAACUAUACACAUUUAAAGAUUCCUGGUUUAUUUAUUCCUAACAAUUUAAACCUAAAAAUAGACAGGUAGCCAGUGUCCAUAUAAGAAUGAAUAAGUGUAAAGUACUUGAUUAAGGCAGAACAGGAGUGGUGAACUUUAACUAAAAUGAUAUAUGAAUAAAUUACAAUGCCAAGAAGAGAUAAUUUUUAACAAAAGGCUGUAAAUGCAAAGAAUGAAUGAUAAUAGUACAUUAAAGAGGACUGAAUCAAUGGACAUUUGUUCAAAUUUCUUUUUAUGGGAAUUCUGAAUCUAGGAAUAAAUUAUUCUGCAUUAAUUCAAAUUUGAAAAACAAAGACAAUAUUUCAUAGAUACAAAACAGGACCUUUUGUCUGAAGCUAUAAUGUACACAGAGGAACUAAUUUUCCCUUAAGUUGUAAAAUUAUUAUAGCAUCCUACAUUCUAUACAAUAAGAAUAAUCCAGUGACAGCACAAAUAGAAAUUAGCAUUAAACAUCUAAUGGAUACUACUUCAGUCUACAAGAUUGGUAUAGCUAGUCCCAAGCCUAAUUAUAACUCAAUGAAACUUUUGGCAUAUAUGAAAUGUUACGUUGUGAACUAUUCUAUUUGGAAAGCCUAGAGGAAAUGAUAGAGCAUAAACCGCUUAUAGAAUAUCACUACUAGUAAUUCUAGUUAGAAGAAUCUGAUAGCUGGCUGGAAAAAAAAAUCUCUUUUUGAGGCCAGGAGAGCCAUGCCAGUUAAAGCUGACUACCCAAGACUAUAUGAUCCAAGGGACAAAGCCCUUUCUCCCAACCCUCAUAGUGACCUGAUGACAAAUCCUCUGGCUGCUGAUGCCAUGCACAGUAUAUUCUUGUUAACCCCAAUACAGGUGGAUUUAGCUUGACAACUUCCAGUCAUUAACCUCUAAUUUUGAAAGGUAUGCAUUGUGCAUCACAAACUUUGAUUUAGUAGGAUAUGUUGUUUCUCCUAUCCAUUGCUGCUGUCUGAGAAAUCAUGCUUUCCAGCUGUAUGGGUGCCUGUGGAGAGGUCAAUGAGGGGAAAAUGACAACUUUUGUGUCAUUCUAUUAUUUGUAUGUGCCAUCAUACAAAUAAUAGAAUGUGUAUAUUUUUGUGAAUCAGGAUGUAAGUACCCAAUUGUAUCAUUUGCAUGAUGGUGCACUUAUUUUGAUGUCAUGGCUUGUUAUGAAUGCCUAUGUCUGGUUGGUGAAUGUAAGAGACUGGCAUGCCUCUUUUCCUAAAUAUGUGCUAUGUCUUUUCCAAACUGCUUACAGUGCCACUGACUUAGUUCCCACGUUACGCUAACCCAUAAAAUGGUUUGUUGGGUUUUGUUAUAGCACAUUAUAUGAACUCAGUCACUGUUUUUUGUAAAUCAUAGUUUAUGAUUUAGCAAGAUAUAUGAACUUUAUCACUGUAGCUUAUUCAAGUGAUAUGUGAACCCUGCUUGUGUGUUUGCUUUAAUGGUCAUUCUGAUGCAAGAUCUGUCAAUAUAGUAUGUGAAUAGGACACCUAAAACAGCUAAUGAUAUUUUUGCACUUCUGCUUUUUGCUAUAUAGUAUUCUUUGUAUGUUGGAACGCACCCCUGAAAUUACUUGUUUUUGGGUGCCUAUAGUCCAAAGAGACUACUUGUUCUCUUCUGCUAAAGCUAUUCAAAUUGUGUGCAUCUGCUGUAUUUGCGCUCACCAUAUGAGCAAAGAAGCUGGUUUCUGGGGGAGAAUUUGCCCUCCUAAGAAUUUGACCAUUCAUUGAUUAAAUACUUUACUCAGUAAGAUUCCAUAGCUUCAAAGUUAUAACUUGAAAUUGAUUCUUUGGAGAAUACUAUAUAUUCUCUGUCAUAACAAAAUGUGUUUUCGUCUGUGCAUGUGCCGUUUAAUUUUAUUUUGUUGUAUAUUAUCACAUAUUUUUAUUUCCUUAUGAGUUAAUACUUUGUUUGUCCUAGGGCCUGGAAAUGCAAAUAUACAUAAUUAGCAUAGUUUUCAGUCUGAAGUUAAAUUAUAUUUACUUUGAUUUAAAUUACAAUCCUAAAGAGAAUUGUCAGUUUUAGAGUAAUCAAUGGGACUUCUAUAGAGUGGCUUGACCAUUAGGCUCCUGAAUGUGAAGUUCUACAUUUAUAGGUCUCUUAUUUCUCUUUAGUGAGCAAGGCAUUAAUGUUCACGCAAUGAGGAACCUGUGCUGCCUUCCUCAGGCAAGAGAAUGGGAAAAUUCUGCACAUAAUUCUAGACCAUGGGUGCUUCAGUGUUUAUACAUAGAUUUUAUUCCUUACUCCCUUGAAUAAAUGGCAGCAACAUUACUCUUGAGACAUAUUCCAGUGAAUUGCAACUGCAAUUAUUAAUAACCAACAUCUGUAUGUAUACCAGGUUUUCUGUACUCCACUGAGAAUAGAGUGAUUUGAAAACUGAUGGAGUAUGCCAGUUACCCUAGUAAAUGUCAAACACAGCUGACUGGCCCAUUUAAUGGUAUAAAUGUUGAUGACUCAGGUCAGAAUUAUCCUAAUGAAUGCUAUUUCUCUGGCUCAGCUGGUUUGAGCUCUCAAGGCACAGACUUAGACCUCCACUUAAGCCAUUUAUUCCUGAGGAGUUUCAUUCAGCUGACUUUUCUACAGGAUCAUUACAAUGCAAUUCAUUAGAUGGCUACAGUUUGAGGAUUGUGGCCAUAAACCCCUUCCAUUUAAACCAGUUAGAUUUACUUGGGAGUAAAUGUGUUUACAAUUGCAAGAAAAAAUUUGCAGUCUCAGGUUCUUGGUUAGUAACUGGCUGAUUCAAUGAGGACACAUGGUUAGUAACAGCACUCAAACCCAAUUGAUGGGGUCAACGUUUAUAUCCAUGCUGUUGUACAUCUGCAGUGUAAAUGAUUACUAUUUUAAAUGAUGUGUGCUACAAUUUAUUGAAGUGGAUCUCUCAGCUCCUUGGAGCUGAGAUAAAAUGUAGUAUGUAGUCUUAAAAGUGUUCCUAGUUGCAAGUGUAGGAGACCUAUGCUCUUACAUUAUCGUUUGCAUUUUUUUAGAAAAACAUUCAUUAUAGAUGCAUGAGCUGCUAAUCUAAUUAGAGAGACUAAAAGGUAGACAGGAGUUAAAAUAAGUGACCUGAAUGAGCUGCAUAGUAUAAUAUUUGCAUUUUGCAACUAAAGAGACAAAGCUUGUUGGACAUAGUAUCUUUUAGAUCUCAUUUCUGGAUUUUUUGAAAAGAACAUAGUGAACUUGAAAAGUUUAGAUAGAGUAAACUUAACAUGUAGAGCAGUACAGUGUAAAAGAUUGUGUGGGAAAUUAAAGUUAGAUUUAAUUAGCUUGAUUUAUUUUGUUUUCUUUUUGUUUGCAUUUGUUAGAAAUGAGUCUGUGAUUUCUGAUAAGCUUUAGCUUUGAUAACUCUGUACAUAAUAAUAAAAAUAUGUGACAAUGAUUAAAUAAUUCUACAUUUGUUGAAUAGGGCUGCCAAGAAACAACAAACAACAGCUCACUGCUGUGCUCCUAGACAUCAUCUAUUCAGCAAAAGACAUUUGAUUGAGGAUAUUUACUACUAAUAUCUGUACUUCCAGUUGCUGUUAGUCACAACAAAAAGGCCAGUGUAAAAUGAAUAGCCUAAUUGUUGAACUACAAAUUAAAGCAGCAGAUUUCAUAUAAAGAUCCGAAGUUCAAAAGUAUCAGUUUCAUGAAUGAUCCAUGCUUUAACUUCAGUAACAAGUUAUACUACAAUAAAUAUUAGACCAUUGUGUGUAUGUGCGUGCGUGCAUGCACGUGCAUAUAAAUUAAAAUUUCAGAGAAAAAUUGUGGAUUAAGGUAAGAAUUGGUCUUAUCAAGUCUUAUAGUAUCUUUUUGUUACCUUUUUACUUAUUAUAAAUUAAAAGGAGGGAGGUGGAAGUGGAAUACUGAUGAAGUCUAAUAAGUGUCAGUUAUUAGAAACUUGGGCCAUUGACAAUUUAAAAAAUCCUCUGCGCCUAACUCUGUAGUUCAGCCAGGAUUCAACCUGUUCAGAGAUAUCCUUCUAUGAGGAUAUACUGUUUAAAAUCUGAGAUACGUGGAUAUGUAUAAAACUCCUAGUGUACAAUAUUAUAAUGUUAAAAAAGAUUGGCAUCAACAGUUUAUUGUAAUUAUUUUAUUCUGGCCAUUAGCUGUCCUCUCUCUGCUUCCAUGCCAUCAGUCCAAAUUGAAAGCAGUGUAAUAUAACUGUAGCCUUCCACAAAGUCUAAUAAAUCAGAACAUGUUCUCACAGUUGGAAAAAAGUUGUUAGAAUUUGACAUGGAUGACCACCACUGCAGUAUAAAAAUCAACAAUUGAAACAGUUUGCUAUGAAAGAACUCAGCAAUCCACAAGAGAGAGUGAUUAUGUAUCACAGCGCUGGCCAAAGAUCCAGUUGCCUUCCAUUGAAGACAUAUGGUUCCACCCCAAGUGUUCCUGCCACUCACACAAUGUGCACUGGAUGGGAGAAAGUCAUGUGUACCUCCUGAGCAGAACCUUUCAAGACUGUAAGAAUGGACCUGACCCCCCUAGUGCAAUAUAAGGAGGAUUCAUAGCAUCUAAUAGUUUUAUGACAAAUGGGUAGAACCUGGUGUCUGUGCUCAGUGGGUCUUAUAUAUUAUGCUGUUUAAUCUACAAAUGUUUUCUCUGUUGUUCUAUCAAACGCAACCUUUAGAACUAAGCCAUUGGAACUCUUAAUAUGAUCUGAAUAACUGGUUCUGUCAUAAUCAAGUCACUUUUAUAUCAAAAUCCAUUUAUGAUUUUUGGCUAACUGCAAUAAAAGCUUCCCUAAACUGAAAA
This is a non-coding RNA of Python bivittatus (Burmese python), 10930 nucleotides long. The record is from RefSeq and is a predicted model, not a curated record. NCBI's taxonomy places the organism in Eukaryota, Metazoa, Chordata, Lepidosauria, Squamata, Pythonidae.